UGACCUCGGAUCAGGUAGGGAAUACCCGCUGAACUUAAGCAUAUCAAUAAGCGGAGGAAAAGAAACCCAACAGGGAUUGCCCCCAGUUAACGGCGAGUGAAGCGGCAACAGCUCAAAUUUGAAAUCUGGCCCCAAGCCCCGAGUUGUAAUUUGCAGAGGAUGCUUUUUGGCGCGGUGCCUUCCGAGUUCCCUGGAACGGGACGCCAUAGGAGGGUGAGAGCCCCGUACGGUUGGACACCAAGCCUCUGUAAAGCUCCUUCGACGAGUCGAGUAGUUUGGGAAUGCUGCUCAAAAUGGGAGGUAUAUUUCUUCUAAAGCUAAAUAUUGGCCAGAGACCGAUAGCGCACAAGUAGAGUGAUCGAAAGAUGAAAAGCACUUUGAAAAGAGGGUUAAACAGCACGUGAAAUUGUUAAAAGGGAAGCGCUUGUGACCAGACUUGCGCCCGGUGAAUCACCCAGCUCUCGCGGCUGGGGCACUUCGCCGGCACAGGCCAGCAUCAGCUCGCCGUCGGGGACAAAAGCUUGGGGAACGUAGCUCUCUUCGGGGAGUGUUAUAGCCCCUUGCAUAAUACCCUUCGGCGGGCUGAGGUACGCGUUCGCAAGGAUGCUGGCGUAAUGGUCAUCAGCGACCCGUCUUGAAACACGGACCAAGGAGUCAACCUUAUGUGCGAGUGUUUGGGUGUCAAACCCCUACGCGUAAUGAAAGUGAACGCAGGUGAGAGCUUCGGCGCAUCAUCGACCGAUCCUGAUGUUCUCGGAUGGAUUUGAGUAAGAGCAUAUAGGGUUGGACCCGAAAGAAGGUGAACUAUGCGUGUAUAGGGUGAAGCCAGAGGAAACUCUGGUGGAGGCUCGCAGCGGUUCUGACGUGCAAAUCGAUCGUCAAAUAUGCGCAUGGGGGCGAAAGACUAAUCGAACCUUCUAGUAGCUGGUUUCCGCCGAAGUUUCCCUCAGGAUAGCAGUGUUGAACUCAGUUUUAUGAGGUAAAGCGAAUGAUUAGGGACUCGGGGGCGCUAUAUAG
RNAcentral lists this non-coding RNA (1017 nucleotides) under Colletotrichum graminicola M1.001. RNAcentral describes it as "Glomerella graminicola M1.001 Eukaryotic large subunit ribosomal RNA". It matches the Rfam family "Eukaryotic large subunit ribosomal RNA", at positions 1 to 1044 of the family's 3401-position model. Lineage: Eukaryota; Fungi; Ascomycota; Sordariomycetes; Glomerellales; Glomerellaceae. The record is from Rfam by way of RNAcentral.